UGCUGAAGGAAGAGGAUGACCUCGUGAACAGCUAGGGAACUUUGUGGACAUCUGAAAAACUAGGAGUCCAACAUAAACUAUAUCACCCUAGGUUUUGCUGAUUCUUACCAUUCCAAACAGAUGGACGAUAAGGGAAAUAAACGGAGUUAUUAAACACCUGCAUAUGAGCUUAUGGGUUUAUAAAACGUAUGAGGCAAUUAAAGGGGCGAACUGUGCAACUGAACAAAUGUUUAAAAAUAGCUUCUGACCACUGUUUGGGUAGUCUUCUAUACCUAUAUAUCUUAAACAGAAACCAGAGACAGUUUGUAUGGAAACAGCUGAACAAUUCUCUCAACGCCGCGUUAUUACGAGCGCAUGUUCUGUCACGGGUGCGUGCACAGGUAAAUGCGCUUCCGCGUGAGUGCACGGCGACGCGGAUAGCGUUUCCGACACGACAAGAGACGCAGCGGUGGGCAGCGGUAAUAUAACGAUGAUAAAAUAAUGUGAAGAAGACACAUGAGGAGGAUGGACCGUCAAGGCGGAAUGAUUUGCAGAAACCCCGUCAAAGUAUUCGCCUGCGCCUCUCUAUGUCUCUCAGAGCGCUAAAUACUUUGCACCGAGGGACGAACAGCGUGGACACCAGGGAGGAUUAACACAUGAAGAACCAUGUCUGCCCAAACCACACAUGGACUGGGGAGCUGUGGAAGAGACAAGCGGAGGCUGAGGCUUUACUGGUGUCAUUAAAACAACCAAACCCGGUGUAAUCCAACAUGAGAAAUGUCGACAUAACAACAUGACGGACUGGGCCAGCGGAUGACAUCAUGCACAUCACUGUCCACCCUGGCAGACAAUGAGGCGACUUUAGGUCUGGAAGAUCCCAAGUUAUAGACUGGGGGAAGUCGAUUCAUGUUAGUAUCAUCCUUCUUCGCUUCUGGCGUGAUGCAUCUAUUGUGUUCGUCAAUUUGAAUCAAGUAUGUCUUCAAAGGACUUUUGAACACAAAACAAAAUGUUAAAAGACACAAAAGAUACCAUCACUGAAAAUAAUCGUCAUAUCGCGUUUAAUUUUUACAGAAUUGCAUUAUUUACUGAAUACAUAACGUAUUUGCACUCUAAACAUCUCUUGUUAUAUCAUAUUAUGAAGACCCUGCCAUUUCUGGUACCUAAUAAAGACUUAAAAGAGCAGCCUUGACCUGCUCUUUUAUAUAUAGUCGAGUGGGCUAAACGCCUAAGCCGCUGACGUAAAUGUUGGGGGAAGGACAGAGGAACUGUGUUCGAGUCCUGUGGAUGUGAACUCGGGAGCGGUCAAAAUAUUUUGCCAGCAUCAAUGGAAGCCUACCACUGUCGGUUACACUGUGAGACAGGACAUGAUCAAAUAACCUUCAAGUUCAACUCAAUUUAGAGGUGAUGUAAGACCCUGAGGGGCCAUCCAUUCAGGCCAUGGUCAUGCAAGUUGUUUUGCUGUCAAGAUAUUUUACACUAGCAAAUAUGUCAACAUAGGGGCGAGGUUUAUGAAUAGAUGGACUGCUGAACAUAAGAACAUCAGUGAACGAAAGGUCGCUGAUGCCUCUACCGAAAGGUAGAGGCUUUGAACUGUUGUUUAUGUCAUUGUAACAAUGUCCACGAUACACGCCACCUGCCUUUGCUCACCUCUCUUCUGCCCCUCUUCCUCUCCACCUCUUUCCUUUCCUCUCUCCUCUUUGUCUCCAUCUCUCCACCUCAUAUUAAUGUGGGGAUGGGCUGGGGGUGUGGGGGGGGGGGGGGGGGGUGUGGGGUCAACACUAAUGCCUGGCUCCUUAGAAGUGACAGCUCCUCCUUGCUUAAUAGACCCAACGUGGCGAUAGCAUGGGACGUAAUUGGCAAUGAGAGGGAGGUGGGAGGGCACCAGGCGAGUGCUUUCCUCCGCUGAAGGGACGGCCUUUGGCUUUGUUUCGUUGGGCUCUGCGGCCUUUGGUGGCGUCAGUGGACGGCUGACCGGGCUAACUGUCCGACGUUUGACUUCAUCUCCUCUUCCUUAACUCCUCAUCAUCCCAUUCCCCGGUUCCAUUAUUAUUCUAUGCAUUAUUCAAAAAUCCUUUUAUACUGUUUAUUAAUUGAUGAAACACUCCCAUGCAUAGUGACCGUAGUGAGUUCAGAUCCAGCUCAUUGAGCCGCGGGUAGGGGUUUGGGGGCAUCUUGCUCAAGGACGCUCACAGGACAUUGGGGUUUGAACCAAAAACCUUUCGGCUAGGAAUUGAACUAGCCAAACUAUUUGAAGCGGAACAUGUCUGAUCGUCCUGUGACAACUUCCACAUCCUGUUUGAAUCCUGGAGUCUCUCUCUCUGUAACUGUCUCUCUCCCUGCCUCUAUUGGUUUAUCUGUCUCUUUCGUUCUCUGCUUCUCUCUGUCUUUCCCUCUAUCUCUCUCUCUCUCUCUCUC
This is a long non-coding RNA of Gadus macrocephalus (Pacific cod), 2394 nucleotides long. RefSeq lists it as uncharacterized. Lineage: Eukaryota; Metazoa; Chordata; Actinopteri; Gadiformes; Gadidae. The transcript is spliced from 3 exons. The record is from RefSeq and is a predicted model, not a curated record.